RNAcentral lists this ribosomal RNA (260 nucleotides) under uncultured bacterium. RNAcentral describes it as "partial 16S ribosomal RNA". It matches the Rfam family "Bacterial small subunit ribosomal RNA", at positions 793 to 1055 of the family's 1533-position model. The record is from RNAcentral.
GUCCACGCCGUAACGAUGGAUACUAGGUGCUGCGGGUAUUGACCCUGCAGCGCCGACGCUAACGCAUUAAGUAUCCCGCCUGGGAAGUACGGCCGCAAGGCUAAACUCAAAGGAAUUGACGGGGCCCGCACAAGCGGUGGAGCAUGUGGUUCAAUUCGACGCAACGCGAAGAACCUUACCCGGACUUGACAUUGAAGGAACCCUGUAGAGAUACGGGGUGCUCUUCGGAGCCCUGAAAACAGGUGCUGCAUGGCUGUCGU